GGGAAUAUUGGACAAUGGGGGCAACCCUGAUCCAGCAAUGCCGCGUGUGUGAAGAAGGCCUGCGGGUUGUAAAGCACUUUUAUCAGGAAAGAACCUGCCUGGGACUAAUAAGCCCAGGCACUGACGGUACCUGAGGAAUAAGCACCGGCUAACUCCGUGCCAGCAGCCGCGGUAAUACGGAGGGUGCAAGCGUUAAUCGGAAUUACUGGGCGUAAAGGGCGCGUAGGCGGUAUGCCAAGUCAGGGGUGAAAGGCCUGGGCUCAACCCAGGAACUGCCUUUGAAACUGGCAAACUAGAGUCCGAAAGAGGAUGGCGGAAUUCCCAGUGUAGAGGUGAAAUUCGUAGAUAUUGGGAAGAACACCAGUGGCGAAGGCGGCCAUCUGGAUCGGCACUGACGCUGAGGCGCGAAAGCGUGGGGAGCAAA
This 424-nucleotide ribosomal RNA is filed under the name uncultured bacterium. RNAcentral describes it as "bacterial SSU rRNA". It matches the Rfam family "Bacterial small subunit ribosomal RNA", at positions 357 to 772 of the family's 1533-position model. The record is from RNAcentral.